UGGCGGACGGGUGAGUAACGCGUGGGUAACCUGCCUUGCACUGGGGAUAACACUUAGAAAUAGGUGCUAAUACCGCAUAAGCGCACGGUCCUGCAUGGGACAGUGUGAAAAACUCCGGUGGUGCAAGAUGGACCCGCGUCUGAUUAGCUGGUUGGCGGGGUAAAGGCCCACCAAGGCGACGAUCAGUAGCCGGCCUGAGAGGGUGGACGGCCACAUUGGGACUGAGACACGGCCCAAACUCCUACGGAAGGCAGCAG
This 257-nucleotide ribosomal RNA is filed under the name uncultured bacterium. Its description in RNAcentral is "partial 16S ribosomal RNA". It matches the Rfam family "Bacterial small subunit ribosomal RNA", at positions 96 to 354 of the family's 1533-position model. The record is from RNAcentral.